CUCAUCCCAUCUUAUCUCUGCUCUUCUUCCACCUGGAGACGAAGGACAUGGUGCCUCGCCGACGCACGGCUCCCCGCCAUCGCUCGGCUCCUCCCUAGCCUGCUCCACUUGUGCUCCUCAUCACCACUCAGCUCCUCCCCAGCCUGCUCCACUUCCUGCUGUUCCACCCAACCCACGUCCUCCUCCUCUCCCACCCACUGAUGAUGUUGCCCUAUUCCUCAUCUCCAGCUAGUCACCGUUGAUGGGCACAUACGGUGGAGCAUUGUCUCUAGGCCCCAUGCUCCAUGUACAUCUCAAUCGACGCGCGAGGUGGUCUUGGUCAUUGAGGACCAUGUGUCUACCACAUCUGUGAGGCAUCCUUCUCUACUGUUGCAAGCGAGGCAGUAUUGUGGUGGGGAGCAGCAGCGAUGCGGUGGGGCAGGAAGUAAUGGAAGCGAUGAUGAUCGCCUCACUACGGUCCUCGGUGCCGUCGAUGGGUAGCAAGGAGGAUGAGGGAUUUUCAAGUGCUUUGUUUGCAACAUGUGAUUUAUGGAUGGUGAAUUAUAUGGAUGUUGCACCAACAGAUUUAAGAUGUUGCAUUUAUUGUUUCUUCGUGUUGCAAUACGAGAUUUUGAGAUGAUUGAUUAGCUGAUUUCGAAUGUUUCAACUGAUGAUUUCUCAUGCUACAAAAGAUGUUUUGAGAUGUUGUAAGGACAAUCUGUGAUGUUGCAAUGGGAGAAUUGACGGUGAUGUUGCACUUGUUGUUUGAAGGUGUUGCAUCUUUGAUUUAUGAAUGUUGCGAUGAGAUAUUUUGAG
RNAcentral lists this long non-coding RNA (795 nucleotides) under Setaria italica (foxtail millet). RNAcentral describes it as "long non-coding RNA (SITA_LNC003283)". Lineage: Eukaryota; Viridiplantae; Streptophyta; Magnoliopsida; Poales; Poaceae. The record is from RNAcentral.